AGUUCGAUUCUGGCUCAGAUUGAACGCUGGUGGAUGCUUUUACACAUGCAAGUCGAACGGCAGCACGGACUUCGGUCUGGUGGCGAGUGGCGAACGGGUGAGUAAUGUAUCGGAACGUGCCUAGUAGCGGGGGAUAACUACGCGAAAGCGUAGCUAAUACCGCAUACGCCCUUCGGGGGAAAGCGGGGACCUUCGGGCCUCGCACUAUUAGAGCGGCCGAUAUCGGAUUAGCUAGUUGGUGGGGUAACGGCUCACCAAGGCGACGAUCCGUAGCUGGUUUGAGAGGACGACCAGCCACACUGGGACUGGAGACACGGCCCAGACUCCCUACGGGAGGCAGCAGUGGGGAAUUUUGGACAAUGGGGGAAACCCCUGAUCCAGCCAUCCCGCGUGUGCGAUGAAGGCCUUCGGGUUGUAAAGCACUUUUUGGCAGGAAAAAGAAACGGCACGGGAUAAUACCCCGUGCAACUGACGGUACCUGCAGAAUAAGCACCGGCUAACUACGUGCCAGCAGCCGCGGUAAUACGUAGGGUGCAAGCGUUAAUCGGAAUUACUGGGCGUAAAGCGUGCGCAGGCGGUUCGGAAAGAUGAAAUCCUGGAGCUUAACUUUGGAACUGCAUUUUUAACUACCGAGCUAGAGUGUGUCGAGGGGAGGUGGAAUUCCGCGUGUAGCAGUGAAAUGCGUAGAUAUGCGGAGGAACACCGAUGGCGAAGGCAGCCUCCUGGGAUACCGACGCUCAUGCACGAAAGCGUGGGAGCAACAGGAUUAGAUACCCUGGUAGUCCACGCCCUAAACGAUGUCAACUAGCUGUUGGGGCCUUCGGGCCUUGGUAGCGCAGCUAACGCGCGAAGUUGACCGCCUGGGGAGUACGGUCGCAAGAUUAAAACUCAAAGGAAUUGACGGGGACCCGCACAAGCGGUGGAUGAUGUGGAUUAAUUCGAUGCAACGCGAAAAACCUACCUACCCUUGACAUGUCUGAAUCCUGAAGAGAUUUGGGAGUGCUCGCAAGAGAACCGGAACACAGGUGCUGUAUUUUGGCUGCCGUCAGCUCGUGUCGUGAGAUGUUGGGUUAAGUCCUGCAACGAGCGCAACCCCUUGUCAUUAGUUGCUACGAAAGGGCACUCAAUGAGACUGCCGGUGACAAACCGAGGAAGGUGGGGAUGACGUCAAGUCCCUGCUUUUGGCCCUUAUGGGUAGGGCUUCACACGUCAUACAAUGGUUUGGACAGAGGGUCGCCAACCCGCGAGGGGGAGCCAAUCCCAGAAACCCGAUCAGUCCGGAUCGCAGUCUGCAACUCGACUGCGUGAAGUCGGAAUCGCUAGUAAUCGCGGAUCAGCAUGUCGCGGUGAAUACGUUCCCGGGUCUUGUACACACCGCCCGUCACACCAUGGGAGUGGGUUUUACCAGAAGUAGUUAGCCUAACCGUAAGGAGGGCGAUUACCACGGUAGGAUUCAUGACUGGGGUGAAGUCGUAACAAGGUAA
Molecule: ribosomal RNA, 1484 nt
Filed under: uncultured Bordetella sp.
Lineage: Bacteria; Pseudomonadati; Pseudomonadota; Betaproteobacteria; Burkholderiales; Alcaligenaceae
Description: partial 16S-23S ribosomal RNA intergenic spacer
Rfam family: Bacterial small subunit ribosomal RNA
Source: RNAcentral